Panicum virgatum (switchgrass) is the source of this 1738-nucleotide RNA transcript. It is a transcript of the gene named RNA-binding KH domain-containing protein PEPPER-like, with no coding region annotated. The transcript has 7 exons. The record is from RefSeq and is a predicted model, not a curated record. Lineage: Eukaryota; Viridiplantae; Streptophyta; Magnoliopsida; Poales; Poaceae.
CUCCUCCCAAAGUCCCCCACUCCACCCUGCCGAGGCUCGCGACGCCUCUGCAACUGCUACCGCAGCCCCACGCCCCAAACCCUAGCCCCCUCCACCGCCACCGCCAUGGCCGACUUAUCCGCUGCCGCCGUCACCGCCGUGGAGGUCGGGGAGCCCGAUUCGCUGCCCCCGCCGGUCGCAGAGGAGGCUGAUGCCGCCGCGGCGGAGGAGGCCGCGGCGGCCGCGAAGAAGUGGCCAGGUUGGCCCGGGGACAGCGUGUUCCGGCUCGUGGUUCCGGUGCUCAAGGUCGGGAGCAUCAUCGGGCGUAAGGGCGAGCUCAUCAAGCGCCUCGUCGAGGAGACUAAGGCCAGGGUCCGCAUCCUGGAGGGGCCCGUCGGAGCAACCGAGCGCAUUGUCCUGGUGUCUGGAAAAGAAGAUCCAAGCUUGGAGCUUCCUCCAGCUAUCGAGCUCUAGUGAGAGUUUUUAAACGUUUUUUAACGUGUCAUUGGAAUAGCAGAUGGAGCUGCUGAUGGCACUCAGGCAGCUGCUGCACCUGGUGUAUGUGCUGCCCGACUGCUGGUUCCUGGAGCUCAAGCUAUUAACCUAAUUGGGAAGCAAGGUGCCACAAUCAAGUCAAUUCAGGAGAGCACUGGUGCUACAAUCCGGGUUAUAUCAGUAGAUGAACGAGAGCGGCCAUUUUAUGUAACUGAUGAUGAAAGGAUAGUUGAGAUACAAGGUGAAACAAAGAAAGUUCUAAAAGCACUUCAAGCAGUUUCUAACCAUCUUCGGAAGUUUUUGGUUGACCAUAGUGUACUCCCAUUAUUUGAAAAGACUAAUACUACAGUGAGCCAAGAUCGCAGCGGUGAUGGUUGGAGUGAUAUGUCACAUCCUCCUAUUGGUUCUGCACAAGUAAAUCAACCACCUCCGGUAGUUGACGAAUAUAUUCUUCCAGCGAAGAGGGACACUUUGUAUCUUGAACGAGAACCUCUAGUAGAUCAUAGCAUUCAUCGCUCAGGAGUGUCACUUUAUGGGCGUGAUCCUGCCUUGUCAACAUUACGACCCUCUGGGAUGCAUGGUGCUGGGCCUCUACUUACACAGAUAACUCAAACCAUGCAAAUCCCACUUACCUAUGCAGAGGACAUUAUAGGAGUCAAAGGAGCAAAUAUUGCGUACAUACGAGCUAAUAGUGGGGCUGUUGUGACAAUUCAGGAGAGUUUGGGCAGCCCUGAUGAUAUUACUGUUGAAAUAAAGGGGACGUCUUCACAAGUACAAGCUGCCCAACAGCUCAUCCAGGACUCCUUAGCUGCACACCGAGAACCUGUCAGAAGCAGCUAUGUGGGAGCAGGAUUAGAUCCAGUGUACAGGCCCAGCUACUCACAAUAUGGCAGCUCCACUUAUUCGUCGUCAUCACUGCCAUCUUAUUCUAGCAUUGAUGAUGGUAGAUAUCCAUCUUCAGGCAUGGGUGGCUAUGGGUCAAGUUACCGGUACUAGUAGCAGUUCAUCGUUAGGAAUGCAUCCUGUAUUUGUUCCUGAAUGAUCAGUACAAGUUGGCAAGUUUCCUGCUGACCCUGUGCUUCCGGGUGGGAAUCCGGUAGAUCGUAUUGUAUCUCUGUACGCAUUUCAGGGUAUGCUAUGCUCUGUUAGAGUGACAAACAGACAGUAGGUUCUCGUCGAUGGAAUUGAAAUCUGUACUGGCUUCCCGUGGUUUAACGGUGCCUGUUUUUGGUGAACUGCAAUGAGAUGACCACAUUUUGUGCAA